RNAcentral lists this ribosomal RNA (427 nucleotides) under uncultured prokaryote. Its description in RNAcentral is "bacterial SSU rRNA". It matches the Rfam family "Bacterial small subunit ribosomal RNA", at positions 355 to 774 of the family's 1533-position model. The record is from RNAcentral.
UCGAGAAUAAUUCACAAUGGGGGCAACCCUGAUGGUGCAACGCCGCGUGGAGGAUGACGGUCUUCGGAUUGUAAACUCCUGUCAUCCGGGAGUAAGACCUGGCUGUGAAUAGCAGACAGGGUUGAUAGUACCGGAAGAGGAAGGGACGGCUAACUUCGUGCCAGCAGCCGCGGUAAUACGAAGGUCCCGAGCGUUGUUCGGAAUCACUGGGCGUAAAGGGAGCGUAGGCGGCGUGGUAAGUCAGAUGUGAAAUCCUGGGGCUCAACCCCGGAACUGCAUCCGAUACUGCCGUGCUAGAGGAUUGGAGAGGUAGCUGGAAUUCUUGGUGUAGCAGUGAAAUGCGUGGAUAUCAAGAGGAACACUCGUGGCGAAAGCGAGCUACUGGACAACUCCUGACUCUGAGGCUCGAAGGCCAGGGUAGCGAAAG